UGGGGAAUCUUGCACAAUGGAGGAAACUCUGAUGCAGCGACGCCGCGUGAGCGAUGAAGCCCUUCGGGGUGUAAAGCUCUUUCGACGGGAACGAUAAUGACGGUACCCGGAGAAGAAGCUGCGGCUAACUACGUGCCAGCAGCCGCGGUAAUACGUAGGCAGCAAACGUUGUUCGGAAUUACUGGGCGUAAAGAGUGUGUAGGCGGUUUUGCAAGUUUGGUGUGAAAUCUCCCGGCUUAACUGGGAGGGUGCGCCGAAAACUGCAAGGCUCGAGUACUGGAGAGGAAAGCGGAAUUCCUGGUGUAGCUGUGAAAUGCGUAGAUAUCAGGAGGAACACCGAUGGUGUAGACGGCUUUCUGGACAGUCACUGACGCUGAGACACGAAAGCGUGGGGAGCAAACA
This 402-nucleotide ribosomal RNA is filed under the name uncultured bacterium. RNAcentral's name for it is "bacterial SSU rRNA". It matches the Rfam family "Bacterial small subunit ribosomal RNA", at positions 355 to 774 of the family's 1533-position model. The record is from RNAcentral.